AGGGUAUGUAAGUCUCGUCAUGUGACUUGCGAGAUUUCACGAUAUUUUGCACUUCCGGGUACAAACAAAUAUCAACAACAUUGCUUAUCUAUAUUGGGUAAUACUUGUAUGCCGGUGGGAAAGUAAAACUUACAUGGAAAAGCAAAUGAUAUGUAGAAAUUGGCAGAUUUUUUUUGUUUUGUAACGAAAUGCAAAUGGUUUCAUCUUGUGAACAAGUAUCAAUGAAAGACAACUUCGUAAAAUCUUCAGAUAUUUUGACUGAGGACAGUGGUGAGAUGAAAGACGUCAGUAUCCAUUGUAAAUAAACAUGCAUGCUCUGCUGUAAAAUCGUUUUGGUAUGUGAUUUCAUGGUUGGAUCUUGAGUACUUGUCAUGGCUCUUGAUUUAUUUUGGAGUGUUCACAAUCAGAUUAGAAAUCAAAUAGUGAUACCACCAGGCAUAGUUGAAAGGAAAUGUCCAUACACAGUCCUGGAGUACAUAGUGGUAGAGACAUGGCGGUCCAUUACUGAUUUUGACUGAAUUAAAGCUUUUUAAAGCUCCAUGUCUUGUGUAAACUGUCUGACUGAAUGUUUGUAUUCUAAUAAAAUCUAAGGUUGAAGACCCUUCAAAGAUAUA
Ruditapes philippinarum (Manila clam) is the source of this 614-nucleotide long non-coding RNA. RefSeq lists it as uncharacterized. The record is from RefSeq and is a predicted model, not a curated record. Lineage: Eukaryota; Metazoa; Mollusca; Bivalvia; Venerida; Veneridae. The transcript has 3 exons.